UGGGGAAUAUUGCACAAUGGGCGCAAGCCUGAUGCAGCCAUGCCGCGUGUGUGAAGAAGGCCUUCGGGUUGUAAAGCACUUUCAGCGAGGAGGAAGGUGGUGAGCUUAAUACGCUCAUCAAUUGACGUUACUCGCAGAAGAAGCACCGGCUAACUCCGUGCCAGCAGCCGCGGUAAUACGGAGGGUGCAAGCGUUAAUCGGAAUUACUGGGCGUAAAGCGCACGCAGGCGGUUUGUUAAGUCAGAUGUGAAAUCCCCGGGCUCAACCUGGGAACUGCAUUUGAAACUGGCAAGCUAGAGUCUCGUAGAGGGGGGUAGAAUUCCAGGUGUAGCGGUGAAAUGCGUAGAGAUCUGGAGGAAUACCGGUGGCGAAGGCGGCCCCCUGGACGAAGACUGACGCUCAGGUGCGAAAGCGUGGGGCAGCAAACAGGAUUAGAUACCCUGGUAGUCCACGCUGUAAACGAUGUCGAUUUUGGAGGUUGUGCCCUUGAGGCGUGGCUUCCGAGCUAACGCGUUAAAUCGACCGCCUGGGGGAGUAC
RNAcentral lists this ribosomal RNA (538 nucleotides) under uncultured bacterium. Its description in RNAcentral is "partial 16S ribosomal RNA". It matches the Rfam family "Bacterial small subunit ribosomal RNA", at positions 355 to 883 of the family's 1533-position model. The record is from RNAcentral.